GUUGUGGUCGAUGUAGAAGACUUUGCCGUCGUAAUCCCUCGCCUCCUCCCAGCCAUCGGGAGAAGAGUACCCUAGACUGGUUACCAUGGUUCAGCUGAUAGAAGGCUCUCUUGAAGAUUCUGACAUCUGUUGU
Molecule: long non-coding RNA, 133 nt
Organism: Malurus melanocephalus (red-backed fairy wren)
Lineage: Eukaryota; Metazoa; Chordata; Aves; Passeriformes; Maluridae
Exons: 3
Source: RefSeq, a predicted model, not a curated record